This 1167-nucleotide long non-coding RNA is filed under the name Anas zonorhyncha (Eastern spot-billed duck). RNAcentral describes it as "lncRNA (ENSAZOG00000000414.1)". Lineage: Eukaryota; Metazoa; Chordata; Aves; Anseriformes; Anatidae. The record is from RNAcentral.
AUGCCCGGUGCUGGCACCCUGCCUGUCCUGGCAGUGGGUGCUGCAGCCACAUGCUCGCUCCCAGCCCGCCGAGCUGCCCUGCUGCCACCGGCACCACCACACCAGCCUGCGGCGGGGUGGGCACAGCGGAGCCCAGCCCCGGCUGGCUCCCGGGCAUGCAGCACGGGGGAACUGCAAAGCACAGCCACCACACUCGGCACAGGGCUGCCGGUGUCCGCAGGGAAGCCGGAGCAGCGAUGCCGGGACAGCGCAGCCCUUACCUUCCAUGUCAAUGAUGGCCAGCACGGCGCUGGUCAUGGCCUCUCCGCGCUCGUUCUCGGCAAUGCACGUGUAGACGCCGGCGUCCUCCUUCUUGCUGUCGCGGAUCCACAGCGUGCCGUACUCCUCCUCGCGCGGGGCGAGCUGCUCCUCGUUCCUGUACCAGCGCAGGCUGGGCCGGGGGUUCCCCACCGCCACCACCCGCAGCCGGAUGUCACAGCCCGUGCCGAUGGCCGCGUUCUUCAGCUUCCGCACGAAGGCCGGCGCCGCCAGGCGAGCGGGGCCCCCCUCGGCCGCCCCCUGCUCCGCCGUGACCUUGGCUCUCUUCGGGGGGAUGCCGGGGCUCGGCGGGGCCGCCCCUGCUCUCCCCAUCGGCCGCCCGGGCUCCCCGCCGGCCCCGCUCGUGCCGCCGCGUGCCUGCGCUCGGUGCAUGGCGCACGGCUCCCCGGUGCGCUCUGGCAGCCCCGCGGCCCCGACCCCACAGCCCCGUGCCCCUCUUCUCUUCUCGGGCCGCUGGGUGCCUGCCAAGGGGUGCCGGUGGCGAGGCGGCUCCCCGCUCCAGGUGCCGUCCGCUUCGGUGCCUCCCCCCGGCCGGCCGCAGCCCCGAAGGUCGCAGCGCCGUGGGCAAGCUGGGGGCUAUUUUUAGGCCGGGGGCUCAGGUUGCUGCUCGCUGCGUCGCCGGUCACCGAGCACCCUGGGUGGUGCCGCGCCCCCGCCCCAUGCUCCGCCGCGACCCCGGCCCUCCCUGCGCCUCGGCACCUGCUCCGCCGCCUGCCCCGGUGCGGGUCCCGCGGGUGCCGGCGCUGCCCCGGUGCUGGGGCCGUGGUGUCCCCCCCUCGCCUGUCCCACGCGGCCCCCGCAGAGCUGCGCUCCCUCUGCCCCCUCUCCUCAAGUGGCAGCUGCCUCUGA